AGAGUUUGAUCCUGGCUCAGAAUGAACGCUGGCGGCGUGCCUAACACAUGCAAGUCGGAUGUGCCCGCAAGGGUGCAUGGCAGACGGGUGAGUAACGCGUGGGGAACCUACCUCUUUGUGGGGAAUAACGCUCCGAAAGGAGUGGUAAUACCGCAUGAGACCACGGGCUGGGAUGCCUGUGGUGAAACCUGGGGACCGAAAGGCCCGGGGCAAGGAGAGGGUCCUGCGUCUGAUUAGCUAGUUGGUGGGGUAACGGCCUACCAAGGCAACGAUCAGUAGCCGGCCUGAGAGGGUGAUCGGCCACACUGGAACUGAGACACGGUCCAGACUCCUACGGGAGGCAGCAGUGGGGAAUUUUGCGCAAUGGGCGAAAGCCUGACGCAGCAACGCCGCGUGGGUGAUGAAGGUCUUCGGAUCGUAAAACCCUGUCGUCAGGGACGAAGGUCACUUGUUUAAGAGACGGGUGGCUUGACGGUACCUGGAGAGGAAGCCCCGGCUAACUCU
This 504-nucleotide ribosomal RNA is filed under the name uncultured bacterium. RNAcentral describes it as "bacterial SSU rRNA". It matches the Rfam family "Bacterial small subunit ribosomal RNA", at positions 8 to 504 of the family's 1533-position model. The record is from RNAcentral.